ACUGCAGUGUAAGCACUUAACGU
This 23-nucleotide microRNA is filed under the name Scyliorhinus torazame (cloudy catshark). Its description in RNAcentral is "Sto-Mir-17-P1b_3p* (star (passenger))". The record is from RNAcentral. Lineage: Eukaryota; Metazoa; Chordata; Chondrichthyes; Carcharhiniformes; Scyliorhinidae.